UACACCUGGCUUCAUGCAAGGUGGUCUCUGAAGAGAGAACGCUGCAGGUUUUAGACAAAUUGAAAACCACGGGCUUAGAUGUUUCUCUUUUCAGGAGCCAGAGUCUCAAAGCUAGCCGUGCCCAGCAGUCAGCCGUCAGUCACCACAGAGCACCUGAUCGGUGCCACUGCUAGGAGCUGCCAGGGAGAGGAGAAGGCCCCGCCUUCCUUCCAGGGGCUUCCGAUCCAUUCCAGGUGCUUGCUGGGUGUGUCCUACGUACCAGGUGCCGUUCCACGGGUAGAGCAGUUCUCGUGGAUUUCAGAGUGGGGAAAGUCAUGGAAGACAAGCCUGCAGGACCGUCUCAGGCAGCCCCAGCAGAGGGUGGGCGGGCGAGGGGUGCAGGGCUAAGUCCCCACGUGGGAUGCCCAGGUCUUGUACUGGAUGGAGUUCCUGCUUUAAGUCCCAGCUACUCCUCCUCCUGUUAACGCGCACGCUGGGAGGCGGCAGAUGAAGGCUCAGGUAGUUGUGUUCUUGCCACCUGGAUUGGGCCCUGGGCUCCUGGCUUGCCCCACCAAGUCCUGCAGACGGAAGACCUCUGUCGCUGUCCCGCAUUCAUAGUCUCUCUAUCAUCUUUCAAACAAAAUGAACAAUUUUACAAAGCAGAGUGCUCUGAGCACAGCAGACCAGCUGACCGCUGCCCCUUGGCUGGACAGAGCAGGCCUCUUUGAGGAGGCCACGUGUGAGGAUGGAGCCAAAUAAUGGCACCCAGGUGGCCACGCCCACAUCUGGGCAAAGAGUUCUCAUCAGAGCAAACAGCAGGUCCAGAGGCCCUGAGGCAGGACAGGGCGUGGUGUGUUUCAGGAAUGGCCCGUAGGCCCCCAGCAUUGAGGCAGGGAGGAGGAGAAAGGGAAGGGAGAGGGGAAGAGACAGGCAGGGCCCAAUCUCGUGGGUGCAUCGUCAGACGUUCACUGAAGCCAUCGGAGGAGGGCCUGGGGAGCGAUCGCCUUCGGAAGACCCUUCACAGCCAGCCCUGGGAGCCGUGAGAGAGGAACUGUGCCCUGGUGCGGCAGGGGGCUGGUGAGCCCGAGCACUGAGACCCUGCGCUCUUGCUGGCUCCUGGUCACACACUGAAGAAGGCUGGGGGUCGCUGUUGCGGUGCGGCAGGGUAAGCCGCGGCUUGGGGCGCCGUCACCCCAGACAGGAGCACUGGUUACCCUGCUUCUGAUCUGGCUCCCUGCUGGCGCUCCUGGGAAGGUGGCGCAUGUUGGCCGGAGCGUUGGGUGCCCUCCAUCCAUGUGGGAGACUCGGAUGGAGCUCCGGGCUGCUGGCUUCAGCCUGGUAUAGCCCCAGAUGUUACAGGUGCACGGGAGCGAGCCAGCAGAGGGAAGAUUCUCUCUCUCUGCCUGUU
Molecule: long non-coding RNA, 1387 nt
Filed under: Oryctolagus cuniculus (rabbit)
Lineage: Eukaryota; Metazoa; Chordata; Mammalia; Lagomorpha; Leporidae
Description: lncRNA (ENSOCUG00000033662.1)
Source: RNAcentral